GGGCCCGCACAAGCGGUGGAGUAUGUGGUUUAAUUCGAUGCAACGCGAAGAACCUUACCAGGGUUUGACAUCCUGCGAAUCUCUUGGAAACGAGAGAGUGCCUUCGGGAACGCAGUGACAGGUGGUGCAUGGCUGUCGUCAGCUCGUGUCGUGAGAUGUUGGGUUAAGUCCCGCAACGAGCGCAACCCACGUCUUUAGUUGCCAGCAUUUAGUUGGGCACUCUAGAGAGACCGCCGGUGAUAAACCGGAGGAAGGUGUGGAUGACGUCAAGUCAUCAUGCCCCUUACAUCCUGGGCUACACACGUACUACAAUGCUACGGACAAAGGGCAGGCAAGUUCAGUCGAGGAGCAAG
RNAcentral lists this ribosomal RNA (353 nucleotides) under uncultured bacterium. RNAcentral's name for it is "bacterial SSU rRNA". It matches the Rfam family "Bacterial small subunit ribosomal RNA", at positions 917 to 1271 of the family's 1533-position model. The record is from RNAcentral.